AUCUUUGCACAGUGGCAGUAUCAUAGCCCAUGAGGUUCAUCCGAGGCGUGAUUAUUGUUAGUUGAAAACUUUUAUUUAUUUAUUUGUUUAUUUUAACCAGUACAACAAUAAACAUAAUUAGAAUUGAGCUGACAA
Molecule: small nuclear RNA, 135 nt
Organism: Nothobranchius furzeri (turquoise killifish)
Lineage: Eukaryota; Metazoa; Chordata; Actinopteri; Cyprinodontiformes; Nothobranchiidae
Product: U4 spliceosomal RNA
Source: RefSeq, a predicted model, not a curated record